UACGGGGGGAGCAAGCGUUGUUCGGAUUUACUGGGCGUAAAGGGCGCGUAGGCGGUCGUGACAAGUCACUUGUGAAAUCUCCGGGCUUAACUCGGAACGGUCAAGUGAUACUGUCGGGCUAGAGUACAGAAGGGGCAACUGGAAUUCUCGGUGUAGCGGUGAAAUGCGUAGAUAUCGAGAGGAACACCUGCGGCGAAGGCAGAUCUCUGGGCCGUAACUGACGCUGAGGAGCGAAAGCGUGGGGAGCGAACAGG
Molecule: ribosomal RNA, 254 nt
Filed under: uncultured bacterium
Lineage: Bacteria
Description: partial 16S ribosomal RNA
Rfam family: Bacterial small subunit ribosomal RNA
Source: RNAcentral